UCUUCUCCUCUAAGCUCUCUGCGCUGAAUCCCUUUCCCUUCCCUGUGCCCUAAAACCUACGCUGAACCCUUCUUCCCCGAGCCCUCUCCCUCUCGCGAGUUCCCGCACCCCGCCAAUCUCUCCCUCACACGAACACUAGCAGGCGAUCUCUCCCUCACGUGAGCUCCACACCGCCAGCUCUCCUCCUUAUGCAAGCACCACAGAUGUCGUCGGCCUCUCCUCCUCACGUGGGCACCGCAUCGCCGUUGUCCUAGUGCCCUAGCAUCAACCGACCCCUUUCUUCCCUCUGCCUCUCACGAGUUCACGCACCCCAGAGUUUCCCUCCCCUCCUUGAGAUCUAGAUAACGACUAGGCUCUGGCCACCGGUGGAUAGAUGCAAGCAUCAAACUCCCUUCUUCCGAUCACUUAUUCACUUCUAAGAUUGGAGCUUUCACCGUCAGUUCUUCUGCGCCAACCUCAACAGCUGCAUACUCUUGGUCUCCAAUAGAGAAGGAUCUACUGGCAUGGAAGGCUCCGGCCUUGCCCCCGGUAUCAGCUUCACUGUAGCAUCAGCCAUGAAUUUCCAUCUGCAAGUACCUCUACCGUGGAUCAAUUCAGGAAUCUCCAAAUCUAGGUAGCAAGUAGAUGAAUCAAGGAUGCUUGGGAGAGUCUUGGCUGCCGGUCCUACGUCACGUCCAUAAAUUACAUCAGGUUUCAUUUAUUCUUUACUCAUAUUUUGUAUUUGGUGUUAUAUUAAUUUGAUUAUCUUUUGGAGUUUAUUAUGUGGAGUUGAAUUUUGUGUUGUUGUGGUUGUUGUUUAAAGCCUAGCCGACUAGCAGUGUAUUGUUUUGGUUUGUAUGAGCUCUCUUUAUCAUUUUUCCACUGUAUUGGUUUUUAGUACAGUCGAGUGGGUUGUUUAAUAUAUAUAUAACUGCGUGGUUGUGUUUA
Molecule: long non-coding RNA, 927 nt
Organism: Zingiber officinale
Lineage: Eukaryota; Viridiplantae; Streptophyta; Magnoliopsida; Zingiberales; Zingiberaceae
Exons: 3
Source: RefSeq, a predicted model, not a curated record